GAUGAACGCUGGCGGCGUGCCUAACACAUGCAAGUCGAACGGAGUCCAGCCUUUAAGACCUUCGGGACCAAGCGGGGAAGACUGAGUGGCGGACGGGUGAGUAACACGUGGGCAACCUGGCUCAUAGAGGGGGAUAACAGAGAGAAAUUUCUGCUAAUACCGCAUAAGCACACACUGCCGCAUGGCAGAGGGUGAAAAGAGAAUCGCUAUGAGAUGGACCCGCGUCUGAUUAGCCAGUUGGCAGGGUAAGAGCCUACCAAAGCGACGAUCAGUAGCCGAUCUGAGAGGAUGAACGGCCACAUUGGGACUGAGACACGGCCCAAACUCCUACGGGAAGCAGCAGUGGGGGAUAUUGCACAAUGGGGGGAACCCUGAUGCAGCGACGCCGCGUGAGUGAAGAAGUAUUUCGGUAUGUAAAGCUCUAUCAGCAGGGAAGAUAAUGACAGUACCUGAAUAAGAAGCCCCGGCUAACUACGUG
This 478-nucleotide ribosomal RNA is filed under the name uncultured bacterium. RNAcentral describes it as "partial 16S ribosomal RNA". It matches the Rfam family "Bacterial small subunit ribosomal RNA", at positions 28 to 507 of the family's 1533-position model. The record is from RNAcentral.